UGUCCCUGAUAGCCCAUAUGACGCAGAAUGGCAGCACACGCCUAUCUCACUCUUCGAGGCGCCCCCAAAACCACGAUGCGCAUUGUUUGUAGGCAACAUGACGGUAUCUCCUGUAAUAGAGAAAAGGUCGUAUAAUUAGGUGAACAACAAAUUUGUUUCUUUUAAGCAAGGAAAGUGUUUGACGAUCACACAAGCGGCAGCACAAUUUGAGUUAAGACCUGCAAGCCCGGUUCACGUCAGCUACCGGUAAUGUUCCUCAGAAGGAGUGGGGGGCGGAUCAGCGACUUCGAGGAGGCUGCGUUCGUGUAGUUGUGCUACGUUGCGGAACGAACGACAUGCCCUACAUGGACCCCGACAUCGCGAUCAGGGAGUACGACAAACUCAUCCAACACCUCAGGGCCCGAGACGAAUGGAGUAUCAAUGCAGUCCUCGAGUUUGCCUUCAACAAGCGGUUGGUGUACCUGUGUCGGCGCUCUGCACGCCUGUACUACCUGGAUCAUGGCUUUCAUCGCCAGCCCCCCACACGUGUCCUCGCUGCAGAUGGGUUACAUCCAAGCUACGAGGGGGUCCGACAGAUCUGCGGCCGCACCCGAAGCGUCCUGCCACGGCUGCUUGGGCGAGCCCCUCGCCGCCGAGCCAACGAACCUGUAGUAACGGACCCAUGCUGGCCGACCUUCCAGGAAGCUGCAGCCCUAGGACAAAGACGACGACCCCGACAGCCUGCAGGCCGACGAGAUUGACUAGCCGCCGGUGAAUCUGUAUCGGUGAAUCCUCUGCAUGGCGCUUCCCCUAAUUAGAACAAAGCCAGCCUUUCGAUUAUACCUUGGAAGGCGAACCAUCUCUACACAAUACCCCAGAUUAUGUCAAUCACAGGACAAGGACCCUGCACGUGACCUUCCCGGAUAUUUCCAUAACUCUCUACGACAAUCGCCAGGUGGCGAGCUCAUACUCAACUGUGACGUCAUUCAAGAAGCCUACAUAAA
Ornithodoros turicata is the source of this 983-nucleotide long non-coding RNA. RefSeq lists it as uncharacterized. The transcript has 4 exons. NCBI's taxonomy places the organism in Eukaryota, Metazoa, Arthropoda, Arachnida, Ixodida, Argasidae. The record is from RefSeq and is a predicted model, not a curated record.